RNAcentral lists this ribosomal RNA (31 nucleotides) under Ampelomyces quisqualis. RNAcentral describes it as "partial 18S ribosomal RNA". The record is from RNAcentral. Lineage: Eukaryota; Fungi; Ascomycota; Dothideomycetes; Pleosporales; Phaeosphaeriaceae.
GUAGGUGAACCUGCGGAAGGAUCAUUAUCUU